GGGGAUGAACGGCUUCGACGGGGAAGGAAGGCCACGGAUGGCGAGCCGGGGGGCUUCGGCCCCGUUAACAACCGAGCGCUAACCCAAAAGUGCCAACAAUUGGGCUGCGAUUCCCGUCGCCGCCUAGUGCGGUAAGGGAGAAAGGAUCCCCCUGAACGGGAUCCCGUCCGCCCCGGCCUCGCGCUGGCGGGUCGGGGGCCGGGCGUCACAGAGCCAGCGUGCGGCGACCGGACGCCGAUAGGGUCGCUUAAGUCCUGAUCGGCUUUGCCCAGGUGUAGCGCGGUCGGCGGCGACUCCCUGGGCGAGAUGGCAACAGCCGACUACGCUCGUAGAAGUCCGUGGCCGAAUUCUCCGGACGCGGGUUCGAUUCCCGCCAUCUCCACCU
This 385-nucleotide transfer-messenger RNA is filed under the name Anaerolineae. Its description in RNAcentral is "DUEL01 sp011388675 Standard tmRNA". It matches the Rfam family "transfer-messenger RNA". From Rfam's summary of the family: Bacterial tmRNA, also known as 10Sa RNA or SsrA, is named for its dual tRNA and mRNA-like properties. RNAcentral also lists the same sequence under 1 other name. Lineage: Bacteria; Bacillati; Chloroflexota. The record is from RNAcentral.